This 77-nucleotide transfer RNA is filed under the name Photobacterium phosphoreum. Its description in RNAcentral is "tRNA-Trp". It matches the Rfam family "tRNA". Rfam says of the family: Transfer RNA (tRNA) molecules are approximately 80 nucleotides in length. Their secondary structure includes four short double-helical elements and three loops (D, anti-codon, and T loops). Lineage: Bacteria; Pseudomonadati; Pseudomonadota; Gammaproteobacteria; Vibrionales; Vibrionaceae. The record is from RNAcentral. RNAcentral also lists the same sequence under 86 other names.
AGGGGUGUAGCUCCAACUGGCAGAGCAGCGGAUUCCAAAUCCGCGUGUUGGGAGUUCGAAUCUCUCCACCCCUGCCA